RNAcentral lists this ribosomal RNA (485 nucleotides) under uncultured bacterium. RNAcentral describes it as "bacterial SSU rRNA". It matches the Rfam family "Bacterial small subunit ribosomal RNA", at positions 501 to 982 of the family's 1533-position model. The record is from RNAcentral.
CUACGUGCCAGCAGCCGCGGUAAUACGUAGGGCGCGAGCGUUGUCCGGAAUUAUUGGGCGUAAAGAGCUUGUAGGCGGUUUGUCGCGUCUGCUGUGAAAGGCCGGGGCUUAACCCCGUGUAUUGCAGUGGGUACGGGCAGACUAGAGUGCAGUAGGGGAGACUGGAACUCCUGGUGUAGCGGUGGAAUGCGCAGAUAUCAGGAAGAACACCGAUGGCGAAGGCAGGUCUCUGGGCUGUAACUGACGCUGAGAAGCGAAAGCAUGGGGAGCGAACAGGAUUAGAUACCCUGGUAGUCCAUGCCGUAAACGUUGGGCACUAGGUGUGGGGGACAUUCCACGUUUUCCGCGCCGUAGCUAACGCAUUAAGUGCCCCGCCUGGGGAGUACGGCCGCAAGGCUAAAACUCAAAGAAAUUGACGGGGGCCCGCACAAGCGGCGGAGCAUGCGGAUUAAUUCGAUGCAACGCGAAGAACCUUACCAAGGCUU